This 413-nucleotide ribosomal RNA is filed under the name uncultured prokaryote. RNAcentral describes it as "partial 16S ribosomal RNA". It matches the Rfam family "Bacterial small subunit ribosomal RNA", at positions 505 to 918 of the family's 1533-position model. The record is from RNAcentral.
GUGCCAGCCGCCGCGGCAAUACGGGGAGGGCAAGUGUUGCUCGGAUUUACUGGGCUUAAAGGGUGUGUAGGCGUCCCGGUAAGUCUCUGGUGAAAGCCUUCCGCUCAACGGAAGAAUUGCCAGAGAUACUGUCGGGAUUGAGUCCGGGAGAGGGGAGCGGAAUUCCUGGUGUAGCGGUGAAAUGCGUAGAUAUCAGGAAGAACGCCAGAGGCGAAGGCGGCUCCCUAGCCCGGUACUGACGCUGAGGCACGAAAGCGUGGGGAGCGAACGGGAUUAGAUACCCCGGUAGUCCACGCCCUAAACGAUGGAUGCUAGGUGUUGGAUCCGAGAGGAUUCAGCGCCGAAGCUAACGCGUUAAGCAUCCCGCCUGGGGACUACGGCCGCAAGGCUGAAACUUAAAGGAAUUGGCGGGG